CCUAGUACAUAUUUCCCCCUAGUACAUAUUUUCCCCCCUAGUACAUAUAUCCCCCCCCAUUCCCCCUAGUACAUAUUUCCCCCUAGUACAUAUUUUCCCCCUAGUACAUAUAUCCCCCCCAUUCCCCCUAGUACAUAUAUCCCCCUCAUGUGAUUUUUCUACCAUUUCUACCUUCAUGUUAUUGUCCUAAAGAAACAGUUUUGCAGUGGUUUCUUCCAUAAGUUAAUGUUUAGAAGCUGCAUUUUUAUAGCCUGGUUGUCAGUCUGUUUGUGCUUUCUUGCCAACUCAUUGUAAUGGCAGUCGUAUGUACUGCAUGACGAUGACAGAAAUAUAAUUGAUAAGAGCACAACCAGAUCUGGGAACCAGGCUAGCACUUUUAUAGUGUUGAUUUUAGGAUGAUGUUUUAUUUUUUAUGAAGCGAUGUUCAUUUGAAGAACUCAAUGACUUACUUACUCCAGAGCUGCUGCGUAAAUGUCCAUGAUGUGAUUUGCGUUUGUUUUAAGAAACUGAAGAGAAUAUAAGCUCUUUUCCAAUAUCCAUACUAGCAUACUACUUAGGGAACAAACCCGUGUAUUGGGUCCUAGCAUUCUAAGUAGUAUGCUAGGAUGGACAUUGGAGCACACUCAAAGGCUCUGUUCCAAUAGCCACACUAGUGUACUGCUUAGUGAACGAUACCAGUGAAUUUGGCGUGCAUUCUAAGUAGUAUGCUAGUAUGAAUAUUGGGAGUGGAGCCUUUAAGUCCACUUGUGUGGAACAUGGGAAUGUGAUGAAGAUACACAAUGUAUAAAGACUAGUUAGUAUCUGUUUUGUCUUAUUGAGAAAGGGAAGUAAAUGUGAAAUCGAAGCCUAGUCGAACUUAAAACUUCUUGAUAUUGAAGUAACGUAACGGUUGCGUCCCAGACUGCAUUGCAUCAACCAACGGUUGCGUGUCACGUCAGCGAGCGCGUAGUCGGGCAUCGCAUUUCUAUAUCAAUGAGUUGUUUAGCAGAUAUGGAACAGAAUUACACACCUAUCCAGGCGUUGUGACUUCUGGCAAGCUUCUGCAAUGUAGUCAUCCUGGAACGUGCCCAGUGGUUCUGCAGACUGGACAUUUGUUUGACUGGACAAGGCUAUACAUAGACUUGUGAAGUUCUUCAGAUUGAGCUAUUUGCUAUAUGAUAUCAGAGUUAGUUCAUCUCUGUAAUUUGGAUAGUGUUUAUACUAGCUGUUGCUUGUUGUUAGGAAAGGUCGAGGUGAAUUACAUUUCAAUUCACUUUAGUUCAUUCAAGAAGCAAAUUCAAAUUCCAUGUCAAGAAUUUAGAAAAUCUUUAAUUAAAAAAUGAAUGGCACAUUUCAAUGUGAUUUUGAAUUUAAAAUCACUCCUUUGAAUUGAAUGAUUUGAAAUGGAAUUGGCCCGAAUCCUGAUUAGGAGACUAGUAAGUGGAAAGUGAAGCUUGUAAAUUGCAGCGUGAGCAUAUUUCUGUGUUUUUACUAUUUAAUUGUUGUAUGAUCGUAUUCCUUGAUAUUAUGGUGUAUCUUAAUGAUCUAUACACUCGUUCCUAAGUGUGUUUUUAUUCAAAUUGUUUCCGUCUCUGCUCCCCCACUCUUUCUAAACAAACGUUGUUUACUAGAGUGGCUUUUGUCUUAACUACUUAGCUGAACUUCUCUAAAUAUUGUUUUAGAUAUAGAAGGUUUCCAAGUGAUUUUAUUCCAGAUAACAAAACAAACCUUUUUAGGGCAGAUACUCAAAUGACACCCUCUUCCCUUUGUAGUGCACUAUUUUAUUCUAUAUAGGGAAUAGGGUGUGAUUUGGGAUGCACUCCCACUGGAACCUGCGCCCUGUUCUGUUCGGCUCCCUUGUUGCCUUGGAAACGCAGCUCUAGAACCACUCCUCCUGUGAGGUUGAGGCGCUCUCCCUACCUGCGUAUAUUCUCCGCCUUUAACAACUGCACCAGGAUCAGUUACUAUCUUACUUAUAAUGGAUAAGAUAGAUUUAGGUUGGAGGAACUGUUGUUAACCCUUUGAUAAAUAAGGACAGAACAUUCCAUCCUUUGUCAAUCGUUCUUAUUAAUUCUAGCCGUUGACAUCAUGAAGGACCGUAGCAUACCGGGAUAGGACAAUAGAACUGUCCAGAACUUCCCCUCUACAAAGGGUUAAUAACUGUUAGUCAACCUUCUCCUCUCCUGUCAUCCAGAUGCAGGUGCUGCAGUACUGAUGGUGCUUCUCUCUAUGCCUUAUAACCUGCUGGCUCCCGCAAUACUAAACACACAGAACUAGAACCAAUAGAAUGGAAUGUUCAAUGAGUAGAAUUCAGAUUCUAUUAGUGCUUUUCUCAGUGUUCUACACAUGAAACAUUAGUGUGGGAACCACCAACCAAAUAUCAGUGGUUUGAGGGCCUGUGUCCAUUCUAUACGUUGUCUUUCUAUGGCUAAAAAACACCUCCCGUGACAGAGCUGUGCUCACACAAAAGAAACAAUGAAUGUUAAACGAAUGUACUCUUUCUCUAAAUCAGUUGCGAUAGCGAUCGCUCGUAGCAAAUGUUCUUAAAACCCACCAAAGAUAUGUAGAAUUGCUGAUUUUAAGAUUGGACAAUAUUGGACCUUGGUGUUGUGCUUUGGGUUGAAUGUUUCACUCAUUGACUGGCACUAAACAGAGUAGAGGAAGACACCCCUUAAAUUUUUUCAAAUAAGAUUGCACAUGUGGUAGUUUUGGGCACAAUCAAAAAUAAUGAAAACACAUAAGUGAAGACCUUUGAAUACGGACCAAUUGAAUGCUUUACAAGUGUCUUCCUGUACGCUAGUAACAUCACAUAAAAAUCUAAAAAUAAAAAUGACAUAGAAAUUCCUUACAAAUAUUCACUUUUUUUAAACACGGAUUCAGACUGUUAGAACUAAGAAUCCCCCACCCCCUAUCCUUAGAGACAAAGCUUGGUAGAAAUUAGACACUUUGAAGAGCACAGAGAUGUGUGAGUGAGAUUUGCCUGUGUGGUGAGUACCAUCUUCUAGCACUAUGGUUCGGAAUGGUAUUAAGGUGCCUGUUGGUUGCAGGAUGGAUAAUUUGCCUGAUUUUGAAAAUUAGAGGUGUUUUGAAGAUGUAAAAAAACGACUAGUUCAUACAGUAGUCAGUGAACUAGGAAUUGCUGCAUGCCCAAUAGUUUGCAGUCUUAAGGCUUUGAGGUUGCCCUUUUGUUUAUAUGGUUUACGGUAACAGACAUAUCAGCAGUUGGAUCCCCUUGAAUCUUGGGUGCUCCUCUACUACACACAUGACGGUAACGGGCUGUAACAGAACUGUACAGAAAUGAAAAGCAUGUUUUUGGAUAUUUAGCUGUAGUCUUUGGAAGUUUUCCUCAUUGGGUUAUCAUUGGGAUGGCCUGGGUGCCAGUCUAUUUCUGCUCACUUGCCAACUCCUUACGGCUUGAAAAUGACAGCAAUGGAGUUGUCAAGUAACAAGAGCACAAACAGAUUUGGGACUGGAGUGAAGUUGGACCAGAAGUAGUGGUUGGUGAAUGUGAGGGUAUUUAUACACUGCCAGUAAAGUCUAGGAUAAGAACAUUAAGUAUUGGACUGUUAUGUCAAGAGAAACCAGGAAGGAACUAUUCAUAAUGAGCCGAUAAGUUCCAAUCCAGCUCUAGCCACCGCUGGCUCUGUUCAGAAGUAUUUCACUAGUAUCUAGGGAAUAUGCUGUUAUUUCAGACACCUCAAUUUGGUUUUCUGUGCAGAUAUACUUCCCCUAAGAUACGUUAUGACAUCAAUGUCCCAUCCUUCUUAAUCCCGUUCUAGUGUGAUGUCAUCCAGUCCUUACACUAGUGUCACUCCAACCCCACUGACCAGUUAGAACACCGGGCUCUUAUGAGAUGACAAUGUACAUGUAUUUUCCGACUGUAUUCAAUUCAGUUAUGUAAACAGAAUGGCCUUCUGCAUGCAUGGAAUCCACGCCUGAUUCACUAGUGCCUGUCAAUUGACCCACACAAUUUUACAUGUAUGCAUAUACACAUACUUAUGCACGCAAACACACAGUUAACAAAGAGCCACUGGUAACUUGGACAACUUCUUAUAAUACUAAACAGACAUGUAAUGACAGAUUAUUCCUAUACUGCUGCAGUUCUAUACAUCUAUAUUUCACUGCUGUCUCGCUCACUGGCAAAUACAUUGUGGAACGACGACCAAUCAAUGAAACCCAAUAAAAUUUGAAAAAAAAACCCAAAGACUGUUUCUUUUCUUAUAUCAGUGCAAUGUAAGAUGUUUUUAUUUGCGAUGAGCAGUGAAAAGCAUAUUAGCUUCGUUUUGGUCACCCACAGAAGCACCAAGGCAUAAUGCUAACUGCUUGAUAUCUUAAGAUGACAGACAGGCAUGUAAAAUACACAUGGUAAAGGCUUAACAAUGUUUGAGAUGAACACUUACCACAGAAUCCUUUACUGAAGGUACAGCACAGUGUUGAGAACAUUAAGCAUGACAUGUUAUAACCACUAUAAUACAGAACACAUGCAUAAUGUCAAAGGUUAGGUAGGCUUAACCAAUCAGUGAAAGGCAUGUAAAACAUUUAGGUUAAUCUUACGGACUAUUCAAGUUAGGUAAUGGCGUGGGUAUAGGGUCAACCAAUGCAAAAACGUACCUAUGUCCACAUAUGGGUAUUUGAUUCAAUUGCCACUCAAAUAAUGAGCAUAUUUUUUUCUUCCUUCAUAGUUGAGAAAAGGAUGGUCAGUAUUGUUAUUUGGCUUAAAGGCCACAAGAGGGCCCUAUGAGUUGAACAUUACCAGUGACUACCAUUACCAUCUUGUUAGGCCUUGGAGAGUAAAAACCAAGGGAGCAACUUCGGUUUUAGAAGUGUGUGGGGGGAGGGGGGUAUUUACAGUACCAGUCAAAAGUUUGGACACCAACUCAUUCAAGGGUUUUUCUUUAUGGGGCGGCAGCGUAGCCUUAUUUGUCAACUGGGGCGGCAGCGUAGCCUAGUGGUUAGAGCGUUGGACUAGUAACCGGAAGGUUGCGAGUUCAAACCCCCGAGCUGACAAGGUACAAAUCUGUCGUUCUGCCCCUGAACAGGCAGUUAACCCACUCUUCCCAGGCUGUCAUUGAAAAUAAGAAUGUGUUCUUAACUGGUUAAAUAAAGGUAAAAUUAAAAAAAUUAAAUUUAUUUGAACUAUUUUCUACCGAAGAAUAGUGAAGACAUCAAAACUGUGAAUUAACACAUAUGGAAUCAUGUAGUAACCAAAAAGGUGUUAUCAAAAUAUAUUUUAAAUUCUUCAAAGUAGCCACCCUUUGUCAGAUUUGUACACUCUUGGCAUUCUCUCAACCAGCUUCACCUGUAACGCUUUUCCAACAGACUUGAAGGAGUCCCCACAUAUGCUGAGCGCUUGUUGGCUGCUUUUCCUUCACUCUGCUGUCCAACUCAUCCCAAACGAUCUCAAUUGGGUUGAGGUCGGGUGAUUGUGGAGGACAGGUCAUCUGAUGCAACACUCUAGCACUCUCCUUGGUCAAAUAGACCUUACACAGCCUGGAGGUGUGUUGGGUCAUUGUCUUGAAAAAUGUAUGAUAGUCCCACUAAGCACAAACCAGAUGGGAUGGCGUAUUGCUGCAGAAUGCUGUGGUAGCCAUGCUGGUUAAGUGUGCCUUGAAUUCUAAAUAAAUCAGUUUCAUCAGCAAAGCACCAUCACACCUCCUCCUCCAUGCUUUACGAUGGGAACCACACAUGCAGAGAUCAUCUGCAUCUCACAAAGACAAGGCGGUUGGAACCAAAAUCUCAAAUUUGGACUCAUCAAGACCAAAGGACAGAUUUCCACUGGUCUAAUGUCCAUUGCUCAUGCUUCUUUCUCCAAGCAAGUCACUUCUUCUUAUUGGUGUCCUUUAGUAGUGGUUACUUUGCAGCAAUUCGACCAUGAAGGCCUGAUUCACAUCUCCUCUGAACAGUUGAUGUUGAGAUGUGUCUGUUACUUAAACUCUGAAGCAUUUAUUUGGGCUGCAAUUUCUGAGGCUGGUAACUCUAGGUCUUCCUUUCCUGUGGUUGUCCUCAUAAGAGCCAGUUUCAUCAAUAGCGCUGAUGGUUUUUGCGACUGCACUUGAAGAAACUUUCAAAGUAAUGAUGGAUUGUCAUUUCACCAAAUAGUGCUAUCUUCUGUAUAUCACCCCUACCUUGUCACAACAACAGUCUCAAACGCAUUAAGGAAAAAAAAGUCCAGAAAUUAACUUUUUACAAGGCACACCUGUUAAUUGAAAUGCAUUCUAGGUGACUAACUCAUGAAGCUGGCUGAGAGAAUGCCUUGACAGAUUUGCACACUCUUGGCAAAGGGUUGCUACUUUGAAGAAUCUCAAAUCUAUUUAGAUUUGUGUAUCACUUUUUUGGUUACUACAUGAUUCCAUGUGUGUUAAUUCAUAGUUUGUCUUCACACUCCAAACAGCCUACCCGACCGCUCUGAGGCAUGGUCCUAAAGCACACUGGUUGUCUCAUUUUGUAUCACAUUCAAAUGAUAAACCUGGGGGCAAAAAUGUCUAUCCCAAGUGAAAGUUCCACCCCUGGUAAAAAAAACACCAGUAGAAAUGCACAAUCUAAUACAAAAGCACCACUGGGUGAGAGGUUCAAACACAAGACAGAAGGAUUUGGCAUCAGCAGAGUAGAAGUAAAUCACGUGGGGGAAAAACAAACAAACAUGGUUGCAUUUACACAGGCAGUCUAAAUCUGUUCCACUGAUUCAAAAGAUCAGAAUUGCGCAGCCUAUGACCAAUAACAGUGUGGAUAAGCAACACAUACACAUUGAAUAGAAAGGCAAAGAUGAUUUUUUAAGAGUGCACAGACUUUGAAUGGAACAUGUUGAUAGGAACACAUGACAGGGUACAUUACAAGGGAAGGACAGGAAUAGGGGACACAUAUUACAAGGUACCAGUUAUGGCACAGCUAGAUAAGAAGGUUAAGUAGUACAUACAGAGCUCUUAUUUAGGUUAUGUCCCAAGUGCCACCCUAUUUAGCCUGAUCAAAAGCUGUGCACUAUGUAGGGUACCAUUUGGGACGUAUCCUUAAUGAUCCACUUGAUAUAACAUGCUUACUCGAAUGUGUUUAAAACAAGUGCACUUGAUAUUUCAAAUUUCUACACAUUUCUAAUAUUGGAAACUGUCGUCAAUUGUAAAGAGUAUAAUACCUUAGGUAGGUAGAAAUGUUAGUUCAAUCUAUUCAUAUGUUCUAUGUUAAAAUACACACAAUACUAUGGUGCUUUUUUCUCAGUUUCAUUACCUCAUUUCUUUUCCCUUAUUUUAAAUAAAACAAAAAAAAAGAAUGAAACUUUGUUAUAAACGUGUACCUCGUUUCUCAAGUUAAACUCUUUCUAGUUCUUUAUGAUAAAAACACGAAGUGAAAAAGUGAUUCAGGAAUACAAAGACGAACAAACAAGUGGUUACGUGUGUUCAGUUCUGUGUUGGGGACUGCAUUCAGUUCUGUGUUGGGGACUGCAUUCAGUUCUGUGUUGGGGACUGCAUUCAGUUCUGUGUUGGGGACU
This is a long non-coding RNA of Oncorhynchus tshawytscha (Chinook salmon), 7459 nucleotides long. NCBI's taxonomy places the organism in Eukaryota, Metazoa, Chordata, Actinopteri, Salmoniformes, Salmonidae. The record is from Ensembl.